AUGGUCAUGGGGUGGACGACGCACAGGCAGAGAGGCAGAUGUCGCUAUAUCAGACCCCGUGCUCCCUCCCACCGCUGUACACACCGGCCGGGGAUAUAUGGGGAGUUGUCCGAAAUACUCCACGGCCGAUCGAUCGCGCACGAAACGUACCUGCGCUCGCGGAAGGAUCGCGCCUUCUUUUUAUUUGCUGCUGUUGCGGGUGGCCCGGGACCGACGGCGACGUGCGGCGGCAAAUGGCGACCCGCGGGCGUCACGUACGUACGCAGCCUGUUCGGCUGCUCCACCACCACCAGCUCGACCAGUGACGUGACGGCGCCGGCGGCGAGAGCGGGUUUCAUAAGUCCACAGGUUAUGACUAAUUCUGCACGCCGUCGCCGGAAAUCUCCAACCUUUGAGACAACUAACUCUGAUGAAAGCUGUAGCGUCGACAUGAGUGAUACUGAUGUUUCCUCUCAAUCAAAAUCAACCAGGAAUAGCCGUAGAAGAUCUCCGAAGAAACUUAAGAGAGCAGCUUCCCCCGAAGUUAAGCAGUUACCUGCUCUUGACAAAGCAGUUCCAAUGCCCCGUCCAGGUAGGGUUCGUGACAAACCUUUCAGAGCUCCGACGACUGGUUACCAAAUUAAUAGAAGUUACCUGCUAGGAGCUUUGAAGGACUUGAGCGACAUCCCUCGUAUGAAUUGGUGUCGUUUUGCUGCUGAGUACCUUAUCGAGGCAAUCCGUGAAUCAAGGAAAAACAAAGUGCCCAACCUGAAUGUCGGUGGAUGCGUACAUAUUCUACAUUCAAAAUACCUCAGGGUUACCCAAGGAUUAAAUGUGGGUUCAGCAGUACUGGAACAAAUAGAUCAUACUGGAAAAAAGAAGACACAUGACCAUUGCAAGUUGUUUGAGAGCUUACUGGACGAUGAAAAGUUAGCAAUGUUCCCUACUGCAGAAGACCAUAAUGAUGAUCUUGAUGAUCACGAAAAAUCUACACAUUCCACCCCACCAGUAACAACUAAUAUAAGUACUGUACCUGGCCAGGAGAAAUAUAAACUUCCUCCACAAGUAGUACAAGUUUCUAAAAAGCGCCUGUCACAUCAACCUACAGAUGAGUCUCUGUCCAACUUGCAUAAUUUGAUCAAACGGAUAAAGAUUCUUGAAGACCAGUACACAGCCGAUCGACAAAGGUUGAUAACUGUGUCUGAACGAAAGCUUCAAAACAAACUGCAACAGCUUCAAAUUAAGAAAACCAAGGAAAUGGCAGCCUUGGUCCAGGAAGAGAUUCAGAAGGCUAUGUUACCGAUGAUUGAUGAUGCAUGUCCAGGAAGUUCUCUACACAAUGAUGAUGCAACUUUGACGAAACGAACUAUAGGAACACAAAGUCCAUGUCACUCCAAUCUAGAUGAAGCUGUUCUCAAUUCUUCCCAGUCUGCUCAACUGGUUCACGAAACUAGCACUCAUGUUGAUGUCACCCAGCAGUUGACAGCCGGAACACCGGCAUCUCCAACCUUCAUGAAUGAAACUUUAGAAAUUGGUACUCAUGAAUCAGAACCAGGAACCAAUUUUGUGAACAUUGAAGGUGUCGAAGCUGACAACUUCCAUCCUGCUUCGCCAAUGCUUGCUCAGAUUACUCAGUACGAGCCUUCUUCUUCUAAAGAAUUGACUACCACGGAUCAGAUUGUUGAGGCUGAACCUGCUGCUUGUAAAGAUCCAUUGGUGGAAAGCAUUUGCACUUUUCAAAAUCUCAAGUCUGAUGCUACAGCAUGUUCUGCAACAACCGCCUUAGAAAGACAAGAGACUUUUGUUGCCAAUGUGGUACCGUCAUCAAAUAAUUCUGCUUCUACACAUCCCCCAGAAUUAGUCUCUGAAGUCAUCGUUCCCACAACUGCAAUUGUUAUUCCCAACAUUGCUGCAGACCAAGUCCAGUCACAUUCUGUUCAAACUGAGAGAAGCAACAUGCCAAGUGAAGAUUCAUCAAUAAUGAAGUUUGUUGGUACUGAUGGUCAAGCGGAUAGUGCUUUUCUUCUACCUGUUACUAGUGCUCAUAAUGUGCUUGGACAUGGCAACCAAGGGGAUCAGCCAGAGAGUAAUGCAUUUGCUGUUCAACAUCCACAACAGGAUUCAUCCAAAGAUGUUUUGCAUGAAGUAGGUAAUACCGUUACUAUGGCACCAACUGCUGAUGGAAUUCAAGAGAUUGCCUUCAUUGAUCCAAAAACAACAAAAUCUUCAUCUCAAAUAGAUGUUUCUGAUGCACAGAAAGCUACCAAGAAUCAUAGUUUCCCACACAAUCCUGCAUCAGAUGUUGUUCAACUACAACAUACAGACAAGACGACACUUGAAGAUGGCAUUCAGAAACAAUCGAAUGAUCAUUUGGAAAAUCUUGAUGUCAGCAAAAUUGAUAUUCUAUCGACGAAAGAUAUUGAAAUUGCUGAUACUGAUUCCACUUCAAAAGAUGUUCCAAAUAUUUCUUCCCCACCUUUAUCCAUACAAAUAGUAGGUGAUGUAUCAAUUAUGUCAGUCAGUCAGAUGACCAGGGAAUAUGAUAGGAUGAAUGUACCAGCGGGUGCUACUAUUCAUACUACCCAACAUAAUGUUGCAUCUACGCUCCAGGAAGUCUCAAGAAUUGAAGAUAAUCAGCCUAUUGUUUUGGAAACUUCUGUUCUGCCCGACCAUAGCUCCUCCAGUUUGGAUGUUUUGCAGAUAGACCCUUCUAAGUUACCUGAUGAUAUGCCAAAACCAAGCACUGUACCCUCAGAUAUCACAUUGCAAAUUGGUCAAACCUCACCAAAGGAAUCCUCAACACUGCAAGAUUCUGAUAAAAAAAUACUAGACAAAUGUGUGGAAAUGAUUCUAUGUAUGACACCGAAUCUAGCACCUGCAAAUGAUAACAACGAAUCACUAAGUCUUGCUAUCAAUGAAGUGCUCAGUGAAAACUUAGAACAAACUCUUGCAUUAGCAGAAAUACAGACUCAGUGCACUGCAGGAGACAUAGAAUCAUCAUCUUGUCAGUCUACACAAGAAGAUGUUGCAAACGUUGCCCAAAUGGAUAUAACUGCAAAAAAACAAGAUGAAUCCCAAGAACAUCCUUCCGACAAUUCAUCUGCCCGAGUAAGUUCUGAGCGCACCAAAGAUGAUGAUAUAUCUAAAGUGGGCAAGCAAGAUUCAGACUCUCAUACUUCUUAUUUAACUCCUAGACACAGCUUCAGAGAUAUAGAGAUAGUUCACAUAGCCGAUGAACCUUCAUCUCCUAAAACAAUUGAUUGUGACCACAUCUCUAAGCUUGCUGAGCCAUUACCAGAUGGAGAAUGUUUUGAUUGUGCUGGUAGCAUAAAUCCUUCUAUGAAGAUGAGAAAACAGCGUUAUCAGAAGAAAGAGGAGAUCGUCGAAGGUAUAUCUGAGCUCAUAAAGAAGAAGCAAUAUCUGGUGAAGAAGUUGAACGACAUGUACAAUACUCUUGUCGCCUGUAGCAAGUUCCGAGGUUUACGAAAGAUGUGCAAAAAUAUGAUGUGGUUACUGUCCGUGGCACUUAUGUAUGAUUGGGGAUCAAAGACCAAGAUUAUAUUGGACCAGACUAUUAUACUAUUUCUGCCUACACUAUCGGACAACCAUUGGAUUCUGGCUGUCAUUAACCUCACGCAAAACACAAUUGAAAUUUAUGACUCUAACUUAGAAGUCAAAGAAGGUGAACACCCGCACAGGGUUAUGUUGGAGAACAUGGCCAGCAAUCUCCAAAAAUCAUUGAAUGAUUGUCUCCACAAGAGUGCUUUCGCAUUUACUGAUUUCCCAAUGAAGUAUUGUUCUACUGGAAAACAAACAAACAAGUAUUGGGCAAUGGAUGUCUUCAGGAAGGAAAUAUGCUAUAUCCUUGUUUACCACCGCUUCAAUGAUCUCAAUCCAAGGAGGCCUGAGAUUAAGAAGAUAGCAUCCGCCGUGAAGACAACAACAGACUGA
Molecule: ribosomal RNA, 3930 nt
Filed under: Triticum aestivum (bread wheat)
Lineage: Eukaryota; Viridiplantae; Streptophyta; Magnoliopsida; Poales; Poaceae
Description: partial small subunit ribosomal RNA
Source: RNAcentral